CUAUUUAUUAUUGCAUAUCAUAUAGCCUUCUUCAGUACUAAUAUAUGUAUUUCAUGUCUUAUGUAACCUUUAACUCAUGGGGUGGUGGUGGUGGUGGUUGUUGUUGAGGUAUGAUAACAGUGAAUUUCCUGAGUUUGCUGUAUUUAGAAUCUUAAAUAUGUUAAUGCAAAGUAGUUAUGUGUAAGUAGAUAAAUGCCUUCCACUAUAAUGGCUUUGGUGCUUGUCCAUUUGCUUUUAAGAGCACUAAAUAAAUUUACAAUUUUAGUUUGUGCCUUCUUGAUUAAAUAUAUAAAUAUAAUUUUUAAAAAAUUCUAAGUAUAAUUGCAACUGACCUGGCUUAUAUACUAUUUUGUGUUGAUUUUUUUUCAGAUCCUUAUUGACAAUGGUGAUCUCUGGAGGUAUAAAUACUGAAGAAUAUGUCAUUUACAGAGAAGAUCUUUGAAAUCUGUUUCCUUUAGACAGCAAAAGAAGAAGAGGUGUUUUCACAACAAAACAGACAAAGAAUCAUACCGAUUUGAAGAAACAGUACUUCCCAAAUUCCUUCCAAAAGUUCAGAGACCCACCAAAGUCUGGUGGACCACUGCCACCAGUCGACCUGAUCUGAGAUGUAAGGUGGGGCCCAGGAGUCCCACAGAUGCAGGGUGCAGUAAGGCCAGGACCCAGCCUCGAUGGCCAUCGCCCGUUGUCAAGCUAUAAACAGGAGAAUAUCUAAAGCAAAGCUGAAAGUGCACAAAGAAUUUUAAGAAACCUGAAGAGCCCCAAAGUAACUAGAAGCGAGACCAUGAGGAGCAGUGAAGGUAAGUAUUCAAAAGUAAAUCAGUGCAUUUUUUAAACAGAGAGACUUAUGAUUUUAUUUUGGCAGAUUUAUGCUCUGGUAGGAAAGAUUGUUGCAAAAAGUAUUUCAGGUGAUAUAAAAGAUUUGAG
This 924-nucleotide long non-coding RNA is filed under the name Struthio camelus australis. RNAcentral's name for it is "lncRNA (ENSSCUG00000013986.1)". Lineage: Eukaryota; Metazoa; Chordata; Aves; Struthioniformes; Struthionidae. The record is from RNAcentral.